Molecule: ribosomal RNA, 205 nt
Filed under: uncultured bacterium
Lineage: Bacteria
Description: partial 16S ribosomal RNA
Rfam family: Bacterial small subunit ribosomal RNA
Source: RNAcentral
UACAGAGACUGCAAGCGUUAUUCGGAUUCACUGGGCGUAAAGGGUGCGCAGGCGCCAAGUGUGUCAGGUGUGAAAUCCCGGGGCUUAACUCCGGAACUGCGCCUGAAACUACUUGGCUAGAGCAUUGGAGAGGGAAGUGGAAUUCACGGUGUAGCAGUGAAAUGCGUAGAUAUCGUGAGGAACACCAGAGGCGAAGGCGACUUCC